AGUGAACGCUGGCGGUAGGCCUAACACAUGCAAGUCGAACGGCAGCACAGUAAGAGCUUGCUCUUACGGGUGGCGAGUGGCGGACGGGUGAGGAAUACAUCGGAAUCUACUUUUUCGUGGGGGAUAACGUAGGGAAACUUACGCUAAUACCGCAUACGACCUAUGGGUGAAAGCAGGGGAUCUUCGGACCUUGCGCGAUUGAAUGAGCCGAUGUCGGAUUAGCUAGUUGGCGGGGUAAAGGCCCACCAAGGCGACGAUCCGUAGCUGGUCUGAGAGGAUGAUCAGCCACACUGGAACUGAGACACGGUCCAGACUCCUACGGGAGGCAGCAGUGGGGAAUAUUGGACAAUGGGCGCAAGCCUGAUCCAGCCAUACCGCGUGGGUGAAGAAGGCCUUCGGGUUGUAAAGCCCUUUUGUUGGGAAAGAAAAGCAGCAGGCUAAUACCCCGCUGUUCUGACGGUACCCAAAGAAUAAGCACCGGCUAACUUCGUG
RNAcentral lists this ribosomal RNA (492 nucleotides) under uncultured bacterium. RNAcentral describes it as "partial 16S ribosomal RNA". It matches the Rfam family "Bacterial small subunit ribosomal RNA", at positions 29 to 507 of the family's 1533-position model. The record is from RNAcentral.